GCCUUUUGUAGAAUGAACCGGCGAGUUACGAUUUGAUGCAAGGUUAAGCAGUAAAUGUGGAGCCGUAGCGAAAGCGAGUCUGAAUAGGGCGUUUAGUAUUUGGUCGUAGACCCGAAACCAGGUGAUCUACCCUUGGUCAGGUUGAAGUUCAGGUAACACUGAAUGGAGGACCGAACCGACUUACGUUGAAAAGUGAGCGGAUGAACUGAGGGUAGCGGAGAAAUUCCAAUCGAACCUGGAGAUAGCUGGUUCUCUCCGAAAUAGCUUUAGGGCUAGCCUCAAGUGAUGAUUAUUGGAGGUAGAGCACUGUUUGGACGAGGGGCCCCUCUCGGGUUACCGAAUUCAGACAAACUCCGAAUGCCAAUUAAUUUAACUUGGGAGUCAGAACAUGGGUGAUAAGGUCCGUGUUCGAAAGGGAAACAGCCCAGACCACCAGCUAAGGUCCCAAAAUAUAUGUUAAGUGGAAAAGGAUGUGGCGUUGCCCAGACAACUAGGAUGUUGGCUUAGAAGCAGCCAUCAUUUAAAGAGUGCGUAAUAGCUCACUAGUCGAGUGACACUGCGCCGAAAAUGUACCGGGGCUAAACAUAUUACCGAAGCUGUGGAUUGUCCUUUGGACAAUGGUAGGAGAGCGUUCUAAGGGCGUUGAAGCAUGAUCGUAAGGACAUGUGGAGCGCUUAGAAGUGAGAAUGCCGGUGUGAGUAGCGAAAGACGGGUGAGAAUCCCGUCCACCGAUUGACUAAGGUUUCCAGAGGAAGGCUCGUCCGCUCUGGGUUAGUCGGGUCCUAAGCUGAGGCCGACAGGCGUAGGCGAUGGAUAACAGGUUGAUAUUCCUGUACCACCUAUAAUCGUUUUAAUCGAUGGGGGGACGCAGUAGGAUAGGCGAAGCGUGCGAUUGGAUUGCACGUCUAAGCAGUAAGGCUGAGUAUUAGGCAAAUCCGGUACUCGUUAAGGCUGAGC
This 957-nucleotide ribosomal RNA is filed under the name Staphylococcus aureus. Its description in RNAcentral is "partial 23S ribosomal RNA". It matches the Rfam family "Bacterial large subunit ribosomal RNA", at positions 603 to 1561 of the family's 2925-position model. The record is from RNAcentral. Lineage: Bacteria; Bacillati; Bacillota; Bacilli; Caryophanales; Staphylococcaceae.